RNAcentral lists this ribosomal RNA (303 nucleotides) under uncultured bacterium. RNAcentral describes it as "bacterial SSU rRNA". It matches the Rfam family "Bacterial small subunit ribosomal RNA", at positions 501 to 800 of the family's 1533-position model. The record is from RNAcentral.
CCCUUUGCCACAGCCGCGGUAAUACGGAGGGUGCAAGCGUUGUYCGGAUUUAUUGGGUUUAAAGGGUGCGUABGCGGCUAUUUAAGUCAUCCGGGAAAGACUUSGGCUCAACCGGAGCAUGUGCCAUUGAUACUGGAUAGCUUGAGUGUUGGAGGGGUACAUGGAAUUGAUGGUGUAGCGGUGAAAUGCAUAGAUACCAUCAGGAACACGCGAUAGCGAAGGCAUUGUACUGGCCAACAACUGACGCUGAGGCCCCGAAAGUGUGGGGAUCGGACAGGAUUAAGAUACCCUGGUAGUCCCCCC